Molecule: ribosomal RNA, 713 nt
Filed under: uncultured eukaryote
Lineage: Eukaryota
Description: SSU rRNA
Rfam family: Eukaryotic small subunit ribosomal RNA
Source: RNAcentral
CCAGUAAUCCGUCUGAGUUCCUUAAAUGACUCGACGGGCGACUUCCGGGAAACCAAAGUUUUUAGGUUCCAGGGGAAGUAUGUUUGCAAAGAUGAAACUUAAAGAAAUUGACGGAAGGGCACCACCAGGAGUGGAGCCUGCGGCUUAAUUUGACUCAACACGGGAAAACUCACCCGGCCCGGACACUGGAAGGAUUGACAGAUUGAGAGCUCUUUCUUGAUUCAGUGGGUGGUGGUGCAUGGCCGUUCUUAGUUGGUGGAGCGAUUUGUCUGGUUAAUUCCGAUAACGAACGAGACUCUAGCCUACUAAAUAGAUCGUCGGCUUACAAACGCUGAUGAGACUUCUUAGAGGGACAGGCGGCGAUUCAGCCGCACGAAACAGAGCAAUAACAGGUCUGUGAUGCCCUUAGAUGUCCGGGGCCGCACGCGCGCUACACUGAAGUGAUCAGCGUGCAUUUUCAGCCUACUCUGCCAAGAGUGGGAAACCCAAUGAACCUUCUUCGUGAUUGGGAUAGGAGAUUGUAAUUAUUCUCCUUGAACGAGGAAUUCCCAGUAAGCGCGAGUCAUAAGCUCGCGUUGAUUACGUCCCUGCCCUUUGUACACACCGCCCGUCGCUACUACCGAUUGAAUGUUUUAGUGAGGUCUUCAGACUGGCCGGCGCAGCUGCUCUCGUAGUAGCAGCGCUGCGUUUGGGAAGAUGCCCAAACUUGAACA